ACGUACACUCCUACGGGAGGCAGCAGUGGGGAAUAUUGCACAAUGGGCGCAAGCCUGAUGCAGCCAUGCCGCGUGUAUGAAGAAGGCCUUCGGGUUGUAAAGUACUUUCAGCGGGGAGGAAGGCAAUACGGUUAAUAACCGUGUUGAUUGACGUUACCCGCAGAAGAAGCACCGGCUAACUCCGUGCCAGCAGCCGCGGUAAUACGGAGGGUGCAAGCGUUAAUCGGAAUUACUGGGCGUAAAGCGCACGCAGGCGGUCUGUCAAGUCGGAUGUGAAAUCCCCGGGCUCAACCUGGGAACUGCAUUCGAAACUGGCAGGCUUGAGUCUUGUAGAGGGGGGUAGAAUUCCAGGUGUAGCGGUGAAAUGCGUAGAGAUCUGGAGGAAUACCGGUGGCGAAGGCGGCCCCCUGGACAAAGACUGACGCUCAGGUGCGAAAGCGUGGGGAGCAAACAGGAUUAGAAACCCUUGUAGUCCC
This 476-nucleotide ribosomal RNA is filed under the name uncultured organism. RNAcentral describes it as "partial 16S ribosomal RNA". It matches the Rfam family "Bacterial small subunit ribosomal RNA", at positions 329 to 797 of the family's 1533-position model. The record is from RNAcentral.